This 253-nucleotide ribosomal RNA is filed under the name uncultured bacterium. RNAcentral describes it as "partial 16S ribosomal RNA". It matches the Rfam family "Bacterial small subunit ribosomal RNA", at positions 524 to 776 of the family's 1533-position model. The record is from RNAcentral.
UACAGAGGGUGCAAGCGUUAAUCGGAAUCACUGGGCUUAAAGGGCGCGUAGGCGGGCUCAGAAGUCAGGGGUGAAAUCCCGCGGCUCAACCGCGGAAGUGCCCUUGAUACUGUGAGCCUCGAGGGAGGUAGGGGCGUGCGGAACUUCCGGUGGAGCGGUGAAAUGCGUAGAUAUCGGAAGGAACACCGGUGGCGAAAGCGGCGCGCUGGACCUCUUCUGACGCUGAGGCGCGAAAGCCAGGGGAGCAAACGGG